RNAcentral lists this ribosomal RNA (520 nucleotides) under uncultured Glomeromycotina. RNAcentral's name for it is "SSU rRNA". It matches the Rfam family "Eukaryotic small subunit ribosomal RNA", at positions 569 to 1089 of the family's 1831-position model. The record is from RNAcentral. Lineage: Eukaryota; Fungi; Glomeromycota.
AGCAGCCGCGGUAAUUCCAGCUCCAAUAGCGUAUAUUAAAGUUGUUGCAGUUAAAAAGCUCGUAGUUGAAUUUCGGAAUCUGUCCAUCGGUCGGGCUUCAUUGUCCGUACUGGUGUGGUGGGUUCUUACCUUCUGAAUAACCAGCAUGCCAUUUAUUUGGUGCGCGGGGGAAGCAGGACUAUUACCUUGAAAAAAUUAGAGUGCUCAAAGCAGGCUAGUGCCUGAAUACAUUAGCAUGGAAUAAUAAAAUAGGACGGCAUGGUUCUAUUUUGUUGGUUUCUAGGAUCACCGUAAUGAUUAAUAGGGAUAGUUGGGGGCAUUAGUAUUCAAUUGUCAGAGGUGAAAUUCUUGGAUUUAUUGAAGACUAACUUCUGCGAAAGCAUUUGCCAAGGAUGUUUUCAUUAAUCAAGAACGAAAGUUAGGGGAUCGAAGACGAUCAGAUACCGUCGUAGUCUUAACCAUAAACUAUGCCGACUAGGGAUCGGACGAUGUUAAUUUUUAAUGACUCGUUCGGCGUCCG